RNAcentral lists this ribosomal RNA (497 nucleotides) under uncultured bacterium. Its description in RNAcentral is "partial 16S ribosomal RNA". It matches the Rfam family "Bacterial small subunit ribosomal RNA", at positions 28 to 507 of the family's 1533-position model. The record is from RNAcentral.
GAUGAACGCUGGCGGCGUGCCUAAUACAUGCAAGUCGAGCGAACAGAUGAGGAGCUUGCUCCUUUGACGUUAGCGGCGGACGGGUGAGUAACACGUGGGUAACCUACCUAUAAGACUGGGAUAACUUCGGGAAACCGGAGCUAAUACCGGAUAACAUUUAGAACCGCAUGGUUCUAAAGUGAAAGAUGGUUUUGCUAUCACUUAUAGAUGGACCCGCGCCGUAUUAGCUAGUUGGUAAGGUAACGGCUUACCAAGGCGACGAUACGUAGCCGACCUGAGAGGGUGAUCGGCCACACUGGAACUGAGACACGGUCCAGACUCCUACGGGAGGCAGCAGUAGGGAAUCUUCCGCAAUGGGCGAAAGCCUGACGGAGCAACGCCGCGUGAGUGAUGAAGGGUUUCGGAUCGUAAAACUCUUUUAUUAGGGAAGAACAAAAGUGUAAGUAACUCUGCACGUCUUGACGGUACCUAAUCAGAAAGCCACGGCUAACUACGUG